GACGAACGCUGGCGGCGUGCUUAACACAUGCAAGUCGAACGAAGUGGCGCACGGGUGAGUAACGCGUAAUCAACCUGCCCUUCAGAGGGGGACAACAGUUGGAAACGACUGCUAAUACCGCAUACUGAAGGAGGGGAUUGCGUCUGAUUAGCUGGUUGGAGGGGUAACGGCCCACCAAGGCGAUGAUCAGUAGCCGGUCUGAUAGGAUUAACGGCCACAUUGGGACUGAGACACGGCCCAGACUACUACGGGAGGCAGCAGUGGGGAAUCUUCCGCAAUGGACGAAAGUCUGACGGAGCAACGCCGCGUGAGUGAUGACGGCCUUCGGGUUGUAAAGCUCUGUUGUUAGAGAAGCGGUAUCUAACCAGAAAGCCACGGCUAACUACGUGCCAGCAGCCGCGGUAAUUC
Molecule: ribosomal RNA, 408 nt
Filed under: uncultured bacterium
Lineage: Bacteria
Description: partial 16S ribosomal RNA
Rfam family: Bacterial small subunit ribosomal RNA
Source: RNAcentral